GUGAGGAAUAUUGGUCAAUGGGCGUAGGCCUGAACCAGCCAAGUAGCGUGCAGGAAGACUGCCCUAUGGGUUGUAAACUGCUUUUAUGCGGGAAUAAAGUCAGGUACGUGUACCUGUUUGCAUGUACCGCAUGAAUAAGGACCGGCUAAUUCCGUGCCAGCAGCCGCGGUAAUACGGAAGGUCCGGGCGUUAUCCGGAUUUAUUGGGUUUAAAGGGAGCGCAGGCGGAGGAUUAAGCGUGACGUGAAAUGUCCCGGCUCAACCGUGGAACUGCGUCGCGAACUGGUUUUCUUGAGUGAGUGCGACGUCGGCGGAAUUCGUGGUGUAGCGGUGAAAUGCUUAGAUAUCACGAAGAACCCCGAUUGCGAAGGCAGCCGACGAGUCCUUAACUGACGCUAAAGCUCGAAAGUGCGGGUAUCGAACAGGAUUAGAUACCCGGGUAGUCC
This 445-nucleotide ribosomal RNA is filed under the name uncultured Prevotellaceae bacterium. Its description in RNAcentral is "bacterial SSU rRNA". It matches the Rfam family "Bacterial small subunit ribosomal RNA", at positions 354 to 796 of the family's 1533-position model. The record is from RNAcentral. Lineage: Bacteria; Pseudomonadati; Bacteroidota; Bacteroidia; Bacteroidales; Prevotellaceae.